UCCGGUGUGGUCAUCUAGAUGUGGGAUAAUGCUGCACAUCAACGGCUAUAAGUUUUCGAAGGAGUAUAGCAGGAAUGGUAAAGUGCGUUGGCAAUGUUCACUCAGGUACAAGACCAAGUGUAGGGCCUUCCUGACUACCAUUGAAGGGGAAGUGGUGAAGAGCUGCUUGGAGCAUUAUCACGAUAGACCAAACUUAAUUGACACCGGAGUUUUUAACGUCGAGAUACGGCAAGCCAGUCCUGAAGCUAGGAUCGCAUAGAUUCAACAAGUACUACAGAUACACAGGCCCUAUGGCCAGAUGGUAUUGCACUAAGAUAUCAAGCGGGUGUAAAGCUAAUGUCGUCACGAUUGACAAUGUGAUUGUCGGCAUGAGAAACGAUCACAAUCAUCUUUAUGUCGAACCUGCUUUAAAAAAAUGACAUUUAUUUUAAGUAGAUUUUAGAAUUAUUUUCGCUUGUCUUGGUCCCCAACUAAAAUAAAUGUGGAACCGAACAGGAAUCAUUUGUGUUUUAUUAUGCAAUAAAGAUUUUUAAACGAAUGCCUA
This is a long non-coding RNA of Plodia interpunctella (Indianmeal moth), 544 nucleotides long. RefSeq lists it as uncharacterized. The transcript has 2 exons. The record is from RefSeq and is a predicted model, not a curated record. Lineage: Eukaryota; Metazoa; Arthropoda; Insecta; Lepidoptera; Pyralidae.